RNAcentral lists this unclassified non-coding RNA (1774 nucleotides) under Penaeus monodon (black tiger shrimp). RNAcentral describes it as "cytoplasmic dynein 2 light intermediate chain 1-like, transcript variant X2". Lineage: Eukaryota; Metazoa; Arthropoda; Malacostraca; Decapoda; Penaeidae. The record is from RNAcentral.
AGCGGAAAACUCGCGCCCUACAUGCCGGAAGUGGCAAUGAAAGUCGAUGGCAUCCUCUUCUGGUGGUUUUGAAGGACGUGAGAGUUCCUAUGCACUGGGGAUUUAGAGGACUCGAGUGGACGGCUGAGACGCGUUCGUGCAUGUGUGCAUGACGCUCAAGGAGAACACUUUAUUGCAUGAAUGAGGGCGCGGUGGGGCAUGGCGCGGAAGGAACUCGCGCCCCCAGCCUCUGCAAACGCUCCCACAUUCAUGACUAAGUUGGGGUAAGCGAGACGUUGAUGAUGGCUCCUGAGGCACGGAGAUCCUUCUGGACAGACAACUGCUGAGUCAAAAAAAAGAAUAUAAGAAAAAAAAGGGAAGAAAAUAGUGAUAAUAAUAAAAGAACAAGAACAAAAAAUGACAAACGAAACCUAAGUCACUCAUGUUACGGCUAGCUAUCAUAGAUCGUUACUUCGCUUAAGCAGUGAUGAUAUGAUAAAGAUGCAGAGUGUCCGUUGUAAGGGUUUAUUUAUAUCUGCUAAGAGUUGUUAUCUCAAAUACACGCUCUAGAGUUACUAAAGAACACAGCUGAGGGGUUUAUUUUCACGGUUUACAUCGAAGAGAGAGAGAAACCGGGAGGAAAACGGGCGCAUGUCACUGAGCUCGAUCGUAAUUCGGAUAAUAAGCAGUCUACUCAUGUGUCGCCUCUUUAACUGCCGUUGGACAGCCCUCGCUCCCUCAACCGGACUCGACAUGACCGUGGGCAGCGCCAGCGCGAGCAGCGCUCGGGUGGGCAGCAGGACCAGCAUGGGCAGCGGGCGAGGAGUGGCCGCCACGCCCCCCUCCAGCGGCGGCGGGCUGAGCGUGUGGGACGCCGCCGUGAGCGAGGCUCGACGGCGCCGCGCCGACCCGCUCAACGCCGAGGGCGAGAAGGCGCCGCGCGAGGCCACGCUCCUCGUCGUCGGCACUCGCGGCGCGGGGAAGACGACGCUGCUUCAGAGGUUCCUUGACCGCGAGGAGCCCCCACGCACCACCCUUGCUCUCGAGUACACUUACGGCAGGAAGAGCGGGAAGACACUGGUGAAGGACGUGGGUCACCUGUGGGAACUCGGCGGGGGGUUGCUGUUCACGUCCCUGUUGGCCACGCCGAUCACCUCGCGCAGUCUGUCGCAGCUGACCGUGGUUCUCAUGCUGGACCUCUCCCGCCCCGAGACCAUCUGGGCGGACCUUGAAAAACUUCUCGCUACCCUGCAGGAGGAGAUACAGAAGGUGGUUGCGGAGACGCCGGGUCUGAUGGAGCAGCUGGAGGAGGCGGCGGCCAAGAGGCGCGUGCCUGACCACCAGGAUCAGGACAAGAUGACUCCUUUUCCGGUGCCGCUGGUCAUCGUGGGAGGAAAGUACGAUCUUUUUCAGGAAAUGGAACCUGAGGGAAAGAAGGUUCGCAGCGCAUACACACGGGGCGUCUCUGCAGUUCUUCUCCGCGCGCGACCCCGGACUCAUAAAGAAGGCAAAGGAACUCCUCAGCCACUUUGCUUUUGGCACCGUCGAGAGCAAAAGCGUGGCGCAGGAUUAUAACAAACCCCUAAUAAUCCCGGCGGGCAGCGACAAUCUGGGCGCCAUUUCGGGCACGAUGGACGACAACCACGCCAUGACGCUGGAUGCUUGGAGGCACACCUUCACUGCAAGGUUCCCGCAGGAACACGAGGAAAAGUCGUCAGUGUUGCCAGAAGACCCAGGACGGGACUCGAACUACAGGGAACCCGACGUCGACAACCUCCGCGCUCAGAAGAAUGAG